This 844-nucleotide ribosomal RNA is filed under the name uncultured bacterium. RNAcentral describes it as "bacterial SSU rRNA". It matches the Rfam family "Bacterial small subunit ribosomal RNA", at positions 590 to 1435 of the family's 1533-position model. The record is from RNAcentral.
UGAANUUAAAGGCUGUGGCUUAACCAUAGUACGCUUUGGAAACUGUUUAACUUGAGUNCAGAAGGGGAGAGCGGAAUUCCAUGUGUAGCGGUGAAAUGCGUAGAUAUAUGGAGGAACACCGGUGGCGAAAGCGGCUCUCUGGUCUGUAACUGACGCUGAGGCUCGAAAGCGUGGGGAGCGAACAGGAUUAGAUACCCUGGUAGUNCACGCCGUAAACGAUGAGUGCUAGGUGUUAGGCCCUUUCCGGGGCUUAGUGCCGCAGCUAACGCAUUAAGCACUCCGCCUGGGGAGUACGACCGCAAGGUUGAAACUCAAAGGAAUUGACGGGGGCCCGCACAAGCGGUGGAGCAUGUGGUUUAAUUCGAAGCAACGCGAAGAACCUUACCAGGUCUUGACAUCCCGAUGCCCGCUCUAGAGAUAGAGUUUUACUUCGGUACAUCGGUGACAGGUGGUGCAUGGUUGUCGUCAGCUCGUGUCGUGAGAUGUUGGGUUAAGUCCCGCAACGAGCGCAACCCUUAUUGUUAGUUGCCAUCAUUCAGUUGGGCACUCUAGCGAGACUGCCGGUAAUAAACCGGAGGAAGGUGGGGAUGACGUCAAAUCAUCAUGCCCCUUAUGACCUGGGCUACACACGUGCUACAAUGGCUGGUACAACGAGUCGCAAGUCGGUGACGGCAAGCUAAUCUCUUAAAGCCAGUCUCAGUUCGGAUUGUAGGCUGCAACUCGCCUACAUGAAGUCGGAAUCGCUAGUAAUCGCGGAUCAGCACGCCGCGGUGAAUACGUUCCCGGGCCUUGUACACACCGCCCGUCACACCACGAGAGUUUGUAACACCCGAAGUCGGUGAGG